RNAcentral lists this long non-coding RNA (802 nucleotides) under Anas platyrhynchos platyrhynchos (common mallard). RNAcentral describes it as "lncRNA (ENSAPLG00000029762.1)". The record is from RNAcentral. Lineage: Eukaryota; Metazoa; Chordata; Aves; Anseriformes; Anatidae.
CAUAUAAGAGCUAUGUCAUAUAAUGGGGGAGCACUAGCUCCAGCUGGUACUAAUGUUCCCUGAGCUUCACUGGGAAAUCUCUCCCAGUAUUUCUGUGUCCAGUAUGGUGAACAGAUACCAAGAGAAGAUCUGACCUCUUGCAGUUUAUUUCCUCCUCUGAAAGAUUUUCCAGGUGGCCGAGCGCAAAGCAAAUAUUUAUAGAUCAAAAUAUUUCUCUUCUCCAUGGGAGGGAAACAGUAAAAGUGCAGAUAUUAAUUUGGUUUUGCAGAGAACUGGAAAUAAUGACAAACUGGUCAUUAAAACUAAGCCUCUUUUUUUUUCUUUCUUUCUUUGCAGAUGCAAAUAAACUUUCUAAGGACAAAUCUGAACCCAUACGUUUCUUUCUCAUAAGAUGGUUAGCAGGAGUGGUUAAUCAGCUGUUCAAGAUAGAUGGAGAAGUGUCAGAGAGGAGAAAGACACAGACAUAUCUUGGCAUCCAUGAUGAUAAAAAUACACUUUUCUACAGACCAGAGGAGGCCGAAAUAUUUACUGUAACUCAGAAAGCAAGUACCAAGUGGUUAAGCAAAAAGACAGAAGGAGAGAAGACUACACUGGGCUGUACACACAGAAGAACCAGAAAAAAUAAAUACUAUAUGCAGCCUACAGCCUCCUUCUGGAAUUUGCUGCCACCAGAGAUCAUUAACUCAAGAACUGUGUCCAGAUUUUUUAAGGCUGGAUAAGUUAACGCUUAAUAAUGGCAUGCACUGUUAUUCAACCCUGUGUAACAAAGUAGAUAAUAAAAGUUCAUUUCAAGAUGUAAACA